CCUACGGGAGGCAGCAGUGAGGAAUAUUGGUCAAUGGACGGAAGUCUGAACCAGCCAUGCCGCGUGAAGGAAGAAGGCUUUCGGGUUGUAAACUUCUUUUGUCAGGGAAGAGUAGAAGACGGUACCUGACGAAUAAGCCACGGCUAACUACGUGCCAGCAGCCGCGGUAAUACGUAGGUGGCAAGCGUUGUCCGGAUUUACUGGGUGUAAAGGGCGUGUAGCCGGGUUGACAAGUCAGAUGUGAAAUCCUGCGGCUUAACCGCAGAACUGCAUGUGAAACUGUUGAUCUUGAGUACUGGAGAGGCAGAUGGAAUUCCUAGUGUAGCGGUGAAAUGCGUAGAUAUUAGGAGGAACACCAGUGGCGAAGGCGGUCUGCUGGACAGCAACUGACGGUGAGGCGCGAAAGCGUGGGGAGCAAACAGGAUUAGAUACCCUUGUAGUC
RNAcentral lists this ribosomal RNA (442 nucleotides) under uncultured bacterium. RNAcentral describes it as "partial 16S ribosomal RNA". It matches the Rfam family "Bacterial small subunit ribosomal RNA", at positions 338 to 795 of the family's 1533-position model. The record is from RNAcentral.